This 300-nucleotide ribosomal RNA is filed under the name uncultured bacterium. Its description in RNAcentral is "bacterial SSU rRNA". It matches the Rfam family "Bacterial small subunit ribosomal RNA", at positions 333 to 629 of the family's 1533-position model. The record is from RNAcentral.
GUGGGCCUACGGGGCGCAGCAGUGAGGAAUAUUGGUCAAUGGGCGGAAGCCUGAACCAGCCAAGUCGCGUGAGGGAAGAAGGCCCUGCGGGUCGCAGACCUCUUUGGACGGGGAGCAAGGCCGCCGACGUGUCGGCGGAAGGAGAGUACCCGUAGAACAAGCAUCGGCUAACUCCGUGCCAGCAGCCGCGGUAAUACGGAGGAUGCGAGCGUUAUCCGGAUUUAUUGGGUUUAAAGGGUGCGUAGGCGGGCAUUUAAGCCGGCGGGCAACUGUCGGGGCUCAACCCCGGGCUGCCGGCGG